RNAcentral lists this microRNA precursor (88 nucleotides) under Cercocebus atys (sooty mangabey). RNAcentral describes it as "miRNA (ENSCATG00000009220.1)". Lineage: Eukaryota; Metazoa; Chordata; Mammalia; Primates; Cercopithecidae. The record is from RNAcentral.
UCUCCCCCAUGGAUGUGGAAGGAGUUAUCUGUCUCCAGUCAGAUAGCUGUCACUAGUCAGUUAACUCCUUCCACACCCAUGGGGGAGA